GGGUUUCCCUGCUAUGUUUUGUCACACAUCAUUGCUGGGAGAGUUCAGUGCUAUCCAAGUGACUCCCCCGGGAGAGGACAACUGGAAAUUUAUGCCUGGUGUCUUCCUGGACUCCGACCUAUGGACCUUCUUCCUUGGAUGAUUUUAACCUGUCUCCUUUUGCUGCAAUGAACCAUAACCAUAAGUAUAUCAGCUUUUCUAAUUUUUGUGAGUCCCUCAAGUGAAUUAUCAAACCUAAGGUAGUUUUGGGACCCCCAUCACAGAGAGUCAAACAGGGGCAGGGCAAGAAGAGCUGCUUUUCCUGGAAGGCUAAUGAGUCUGAACUUCGCCCUGGAGGUAAUCGUUAUAGUAACUCCAGGCUCUAACCUGGAGCUGACAUGAUAAGGUCAAAUGUACACCUCUAGAAGACUUCCGACUGCAGAGGGGAAUGGAUGGGGGAGCUGAGGGAGGAGAGCUGAAGCAGGAAGACCAUGGCCUGGAAAGAGAUGGCUGAACCAGUCCAGAAUCACAAGAAAGGCAUCAGCACCUUCUGUGAAAUGGGGAACCAUGCAGAGGAGGUGCCCAGGUGGCGAGGAGUCCAUGUCAG
This 586-nucleotide non-coding RNA is filed under the name Pan troglodytes (chimpanzee). Lineage: Eukaryota; Metazoa; Chordata; Mammalia; Primates; Hominidae. The record is from RNAcentral.